UAAUGCAUGAGGACGACCUAAGAUUUAACUGUCAAUCCUAAAUAGUCAUCCACAUUGUAUUUCAAUCUUUUUCAAAUCUAUUACAUGAAUUAUUCGGACUCAGAUUUUGUUAAAUUAAAAUAUAUUGAUAUAUUAACUCUUACUAAUUCAGAGAGAUCAAUCACAUCUUAACUCAUGCACCGACAUGAUAAGUACUUGACUGCACCCAGAAACCUUCCAUCACUGAAUUAGAAACUCAGUUAGUUCGGUACCAAAGUACAGUAAGUUAUUUGUAAGUCACUAUGGUGAUCUAAGAUCGGAGGAAUACUUAUACCCAUACCCUUCGCGAGCU
RNAcentral lists this long non-coding RNA (331 nucleotides) under Elaeis guineensis (African oil palm). RNAcentral's name for it is "long non-coding RNA (EGUI_LNC054954)". The record is from RNAcentral. Lineage: Eukaryota; Viridiplantae; Streptophyta; Magnoliopsida; Arecales; Arecaceae.